ACUUAGCCCUGAUUGAAAUGGCAUCCUUUUUAUGGCCCAUAUAUAAAGAAACAGUUUCUUAUUUAAAUGAAAUUGCCAUAGUUUACAAGUAAAUAAACUAUGGCAAUGACAAUAAUAAAAAGAUAUAAUGAAAAGCAGGAAUAGCU
RNAcentral lists this small RNA (146 nucleotides) under Polaribacter sp. SA4-12. RNAcentral's name for it is "Flavo-1 RNA". It matches the Rfam family "Flavo-1 RNA". Lineage: Bacteria; Pseudomonadati; Bacteroidota; Flavobacteriia; Flavobacteriales; Flavobacteriaceae. The record is from Rfam by way of RNAcentral.